Molecule: non-coding RNA, 172 nt
Organism: Betaproteobacteria bacterium
Lineage: Bacteria; Pseudomonadati; Pseudomonadota; Betaproteobacteria
Source: Rfam
UCCGUCGUGAGGCGGAAUCUGAAGGAAGCUGUAGGCAAAGCGCUGGCCUGACGAACAGGAAGCGGAUAGGAGGCGACGCAUUGGGGUGAGGCGGCCAAUAUCGUCAAAGCCCGAUACUUGCACGGAGCGAUGCGGCGUAUAUCCGACAGGCGUAAGCGUGAAGGGGGGUGUG